Canis lupus familiaris (dog) is the source of this 650-nucleotide long non-coding RNA. RefSeq lists it as uncharacterized. NCBI's taxonomy places the organism in Eukaryota, Metazoa, Chordata, Mammalia, Carnivora, Canidae. The record is from RefSeq and is a predicted model, not a curated record. The transcript is spliced from 3 exons.
AGAUCGCGCUCUGGGCCAAAGGCAGGCACCAAACCGCUGCGCCACCCAGGGAUCCCUAAAAAUUAUUUUCUAUAUCUAAGUUUGUUCUCAGAAACCUUUUUUUCUAGGCAAAUAUAGAAUACAAUAACACCAACUACAAUAAUAAUCAAUAGCAUGGACAGGUAUAAUGUGGACAAAUGGCAAAUUAAAUGAUACCUGGUAUUUGUUUUGCUCUUAAAAAAAAGAUUUUUAUUUAUUUAUUCCUGAGAGAGAGAGAGAGGCAGAAACACAGGCAGAGGGAGAAGCAGGCUCCAUGCAGGGAGCCCGACGUGGGACUUGAUCCGGGGUCUCCAGGACCAGGCCCUGGGCCAAAGGCAGCACUAAACAGCUGAGCCACCGAAGCUGCCCUGUUUUGCUCUUUAGAUGAAAGACACUGGAUAAAUAUCACAGAAACACAUAAGACAUCUAGAUGCUUCCAGUGUCAAGCAUGAGACGGAAGAAGGGAGCAGAAGCUGCCAUAAUGAGGAGUAUCCUGUUCCAGAUGCAACACCUAAACACUGGCAUGUGGGAUGCCUGGGUGGCUCAGCAGUUGAGGAUCUGCCUUCAGCUCAGAACGUGAUCCUGGAGUCCCAAGAUUGAAUCCCACAUCAGGCUUCCUCCUUCAUGGAGCC